RNAcentral lists this transfer RNA (60 nucleotides) under Laomedia healyi. RNAcentral describes it as "tRNA-Asp". Lineage: Eukaryota; Metazoa; Arthropoda; Malacostraca; Decapoda; Laomediidae. The record is from RNAcentral.
AAAAAUUAGUUAAAUUAUAAUACAGGUUUGUCAAGCCUGAGUUAUCCUCAAGAUAUUUUU